UUAUAUGUCUUGAUCAUAUAAUGAAACUUAAAGUUUCCUGAAAUAUAUUAUGACAUUUGAUGAUUUUUAAAUUGAACACCCCAAAGCUUAUAAUAUUUAAUUAGAAGAAUGGGCAGGAAACUUUAGAAUGACUAUGGUUUGCUCAAUUUACUUUGGUUGCAUAACCACGUUUUACAGCAUGUCAUUUUUUGUGUAGCUGUAACAUUCAAGGAUAUUUAGAAAAAUGAUUAUGACACCCGUUGGAGUUAUAAAUUUAAAGCUGCAGGAAUAUGGUUAGAUCAGUUGCUUAUCAUGCUUUUCAAGAUCUUUUCUUUUGUAAGUAAAUUGGCAAAUAUGGGCCGAUAUUGUUAGACGACUAGCUUAUUCCCUGUGCCAAUGGGCUUCUAAGGUUACCAGAACUUUCAAUUUUCUGUUCAAACCUAAGUUUUCUGAAUUGAUUAAUAUUUUUAUUUAUCCAAUUGAUUUCUUCUAUCACAGGUUAAGAAACACUCAUCAUACCUAAUGACUGUAGAAAUGUCUAUUGUUGGAAGUAUAUGCUUGCUUACCAGUACCUUGAAAUCUCCGGAUGGGGAAACUAUGAGACGUCAUGGCUUUUUUCAUGGUUGGACUCCUUUAACUUGGAGAGAAGAAAAAUUUAACAUGGACUGCACGAUAUGCAAGUUGCAAUACUCACUUAGAGUCUAUUGGUUAUGUUCUUAUGUACUUCUUAAGAGCAAGGUAUGUUUCUUCCUAUUCAUUAUAAUUUACUUAGCAUAUGGAAUUUUAUAAAAUGGUGCAUGUGAGUAUCAAUUGCACAUACUUUUAAGUUAAACAAUUGUAGCAUAGUCAAUGUUUACUAUUAUAGUGAAACAAGAUCAAUCACAAUCUCUCGAUGAAAAAGACAAUAUUGAAGAGCAGUCUAAGCAAUUACAGCUCCCGAAGAAGGAUUUAGAUGUGUGCUUAGAAAUAAUGUUUUGAAGGCAAACUGCAUUUUUUCUGUGAUCUACCAUUGAAAGCAUCGUCGCCUGUGUUUUUUUUCUUCCGUUAGAUAGUGGUUGGUUGUCUAGGAUUUAAUAAAUUGUUAUUAAUGGGAAUAGUUUUUGGAUAGUGUGAAGUAAUGGUGAAAGUUAGAAAGUAUAAAACACAUAGUACAUAAUGGUUGAUAUGGAAAAUAAAGGCUUAGAACUUUGUUAAAUGCAUUAUGACGCGUUAAAACAAACCUAGCUAUACGUGAGAGUCUAUCUCUUUGAUUUUGUUGCGAAAGGUUAUGAUAUGUACUUUCUACUUUUUAGUGUACCAUGUCCAUGUCUCAAGUGUUUAUAGAGUCUAUUAAAAUAAGUUUAUGGUUAAAAUUGUUAUUAAAAUAAGUUUAUGGUUAAAAUAAACAUAUACAUUUUAUUCUAUCUCUAGUUUAUUAAAAUAAGUUUAUGGUUAAUUGUUAUUCAAUUAAUGGAUUUUUUUAUAACAUUAUAUCUAUAAGUGUGUAUAGAUAAGUUGAAUGAGAGAGCUUCUUGAAAAAAAAAAUGAGAUGGAGUAGUUAAAAGCUCAGUUAUAAAUUACAAUUAUAAUUUUUUUCUUCUGAUAAAUAAAUGUAGGUGUAGAAGUUUAUUCAAACUGACUCCAAAUUCACCUAAGAAAUACUGUCGCAUACUGUAUACCGAACCUUGUAAUUAUUUUGUUCUUUUGUUUGGAGCUGCCACUAUAUGGAUCUUUUGCUUGAUUGCAUGUAGUAAUAUUAUUCCUAUAAUCUCAUCUCAUUAUGUAUAAUGCUGCAUUGCUUUUGUUGAAUCAGUCAUGUCAUCUUGUAUAGCAGUUUGAAUUUCUCUUAUAUUUUAUUUCUUUCUUUAGAUUUUUUAUUAAAAUUUAAUUAAUAUUAAAUAUUUCUGAUAACAAUAUUAUAUCAUAACAGUAUCAGUGCGAACGCACGAGUACCACACCAGUACUAUGUGAAUGCACAGAUAAUCAUAUUAAAAUUGAUACAAAUGCACGGGUUAUUAUUAUUUUUUGUAUAAUUAAGAAAAUAAAAUAAAAUAUAAUAUAUUAAAUUAAAUACGAGAAAAAUAUGUUGUCUUUAAAUUAUUUAUGUAUUUAUAUUUUUUAAAAAUAUUUUUAAUUUAAGAUACAAAACUUUUUAAGAUAAUAUAUGAAACAUUGAAAUAUAUUUUAUUGAUGUAAAACAAUUUUGAUAAAAAUAAUUUUGUUUUUAUUUUAAAAAUAUGUCUUUCUUUUACAAAUAACAUAUUAUUUUGAUAAAACAACUUUAUUAUUCUUAAUUUCAUUUUGAUUACAUUUUGAAAGCAAAAGAGUACGUACCACGCCAGCACGCGUGUGAACACACAGGUGCUGAUACGAUACUUAAACAAAAAUAAAUUUUGUAUACGGAAAGAAAUUUAUUAUUGAUCUAAAUAAUUUUAUAUACAAAAAAUGGUAUUUAUAAUCUAAAUAUUUUUGAUAAAAAAUGGUAUACGGGAAAAAAUCUAUUAAUGAUCUAAAUAUUUUUAUAUACAGAAAUUUACUAUUGACCCAUAUA
Long non-coding RNA from Vicia villosa (hairy vetch), 2509 nucleotides. RefSeq lists it as uncharacterized. Lineage: Eukaryota; Viridiplantae; Streptophyta; Magnoliopsida; Fabales; Fabaceae. The record is from RefSeq and is a predicted model, not a curated record. The transcript has 3 exons.